This 440-nucleotide ribosomal RNA is filed under the name uncultured bacterium. RNAcentral describes it as "partial 16S ribosomal RNA". It matches the Rfam family "Bacterial small subunit ribosomal RNA", at positions 338 to 795 of the family's 1533-position model. The record is from RNAcentral.
CCUACGGGAGGCAGCAGUGGGGAAUAUUGCACAAUGGGGGAAACCCUGAUGCAGCGACGCCGCGUGAGUGAAGAAGUAAUUCGUUAUGUAAAGCUCUAUCAGCAGGGACGAAAAUGACGGUACCUGCGUAAGAAGCACCGGCUAACUACGUGCCAGCAGCCGCGGUAAUACGUAGGGGGCAAGCGUUAUCCGGAUUUACUGGGGGUAAAGGGAGCGUAGACGGAAGUGGAAGUCUGCGGUGAAAUGCCGGGGCUCAACCCCCGGACUGCUCUGGAGACUGUACGGCUGGAGUGCAGGAGAGGUAAGUGGAAUUCCUAGUGUAGCGGUGAAAUGCGUAGAUAUUAGGAGGAACACCAGUGGCGAAGGCGGCUUACUGGACUGUAACUGACGUUGAGGCUCGAAAGCGUGGGGAGCAAACAGGAUUAGAUACCCUUGUAGUC